Molecule: ribosomal RNA, 248 nt
Filed under: uncultured cyanobacterium
Lineage: Bacteria; Bacillati; Cyanobacteriota
Description: partial 16S ribosomal RNA
Rfam family: Bacterial small subunit ribosomal RNA
Source: RNAcentral
CCAGCAGCCGCGGUAAUACGGGAGUGGCAAGCGUUAUCCGGAAUUAUUGGGCGUAAAGCGUCCGCAGGCGGCCCUUCAAGUCUGCUGUUAAAAAGUGGAGUUUAACUCCAUCAUCGCAGUGGAAACUGUUGGGCUUGAGUGUUGUAGGGGCAGAGGGAAACACCGGUGCAGCGCCGAAAUGCGUAGAUGUCCCAAAGAACACCACUAGAGAAGGCGUCCUGCUGGCCCAUCACUGACGCUCAUGGAUG